GCGACCUGUGACCAUGGUGGCUGUGCUGGGCGGCCGGGGCGUGUUGCGCCUGCGGCUGCUGCUCUCAGCGCUGAAGCCCGGGAUCCACGUCCCACGGGCCGGACCCGCGGCCGCGUUCGGCACCUCGGUAACCUCUGCCAAAGUGGCUGUGAAUGGCGUUCAGCUGCAUUACCAGCAGACUGGAGAGGGAGAUCACGCAGUCCUGCUACUUCCUGGGAUGUUAGGUCUGGACACUUUUUAAUGGAAUAUUUUUGCAUGCUGUAAAAUCUAUGAUGCCUUCACAAUACUAGAUGCCAAAUAUUGAUUAUUAAUUUUAGUGCUUUUCUGAAAUGUUUUCAUAUUUGCUGCAAUCAAACUUAAAUGACUUAGAAAAGUAGGUAACUUUCUACUGCUGUUCAGAAUUGGAUUUUUUAUUCCUUUAGUAAAGUACCCAGUUUUUCCUAUACAAGUACUCUGUGAAAUCACAGUUGCCCAUAAUUUGGGAGGGUGACAGGGGUCAAGGAAAGGGGUGUGGGAAUAAGGGGUAAAGGAGGAAGGUGAGUGGGUAAUCAGUCAUCCUAGUUUGCCUGGCAUUGGGGGAUUUUCCAGGAUGUGGGACUUUCAGUGCU
RNAcentral lists this small RNA (608 nucleotides) under Pan troglodytes (chimpanzee). RNAcentral's name for it is "retained intron". Lineage: Eukaryota; Metazoa; Chordata; Mammalia; Primates; Hominidae. The record is from RNAcentral.